Molecule: ribosomal RNA, 235 nt
Filed under: Mycobacterium tuberculosis
Lineage: Bacteria; Bacillati; Actinomycetota; Actinomycetes; Mycobacteriales; Mycobacteriaceae
Description: partial 16S ribosomal RNA
Rfam family: Bacterial small subunit ribosomal RNA
Source: RNAcentral
AAAGCCGGUCUCAGUUCGGAUCGGGGUCUGCAACUCGACCCCGUGAAGUCGGAGUCGCUAGUAAUCGCAGAUCAGCAACGCUGCGGUGAAUACGUUCCCGGGCCUUGUACACACCGCCCGUCACGUCAUGAAAGUCGGUAACACCCGAAGCCAGUGGCCUAACCCUCGGGAGGGAGCUGUCGAAGGUGGGAUCGGCGAUUGGGACUAAGUCGUAACAAGGUAGCCGUACCGGAAG